RNAcentral lists this ribosomal RNA (377 nucleotides) under uncultured bacterium. Its description in RNAcentral is "bacterial SSU rRNA". It matches the Rfam family "Bacterial small subunit ribosomal RNA", at positions 790 to 1167 of the family's 1533-position model. The record is from RNAcentral.
GUAGUCCACGCCGUAAACGAUGAGUGCUAGGUGUUGGGGGGUUCCACCCUCAGUGCUGACGUUAACACAUUAAGCACUCCGCCUGGGGAGUACGGCCGCAAGGCUGAAACUCAAAGGAAUUGACGGGGGCCCGCACAAGCAGUGGAGCAUGUGGUUUAAUUCGAAGCAACGCGAAGAACCUUACCAGGUCUUGACAUCCUUCGCAACUUCUAGAGAUAGAAGGUUCCCCUUCGGGGGACGAAGUGACAGGUGGUGCAUGGUUGUCGUCAGCUCGUGUCGUGAGAUGUUGGGUUAAGUCCCGCAACGAGCGCAACCCUUGAUCUUAGUUGCCAGCAUUCAGUUGGGCACUCUAAGGUGACUGCCGGUGACAAACCGGA